UACGUAGGGGGCAAGCGUUGUCCGGAAUCAUUGGGCGUAAAGAGCGUGUAGGCGGCCCGAUAAGUCCGCCGUGAAAGUCCAGGGCUCAACCCUGGAAUGCCGGUGGAAACUGUCGGGCUGGAGUCCGGAAGAGGCGAGUGGAAUUCCUGGUGUAGCGGUGAAAUGCGCAGAUAUCAGGAGGAACACCAAUGGCGAAGGCAGCUCGCUGGGACGGUACUGACGCUGAGACGCGAAAGCGUGGGGAGCGAACGGG
This 253-nucleotide ribosomal RNA is filed under the name uncultured bacterium. RNAcentral describes it as "partial 16S ribosomal RNA". It matches the Rfam family "Bacterial small subunit ribosomal RNA", at positions 524 to 776 of the family's 1533-position model. The record is from RNAcentral.